This 63-nucleotide transfer RNA is filed under the name Iassus dorsalis. Its description in RNAcentral is "tRNA-Val". The record is from RNAcentral. Lineage: Eukaryota; Metazoa; Arthropoda; Insecta; Hemiptera; Cicadellidae.
CAGAAUGUAGCUUAUUUUAAAGCUAAUUAUUUACAUUAAUUUGAAAAUUUAAAUUCUUUCUGA